Molecule: non-coding RNA, 135 nt
Organism: Triticum urartu
Lineage: Eukaryota; Viridiplantae; Streptophyta; Magnoliopsida; Poales; Poaceae
Source: Rfam
CAACUACCCACUCUGUCCCAAAUUUCUUGUCUUAGAUUUGUCUAGAUACAGAUGUAUCUAAUAAUAAAAUGUGACUUGAUACAUCCGUAUCUAGACAAAUCAAAGAUAAGAAUUUUGGGACGGAGGGAGUACUUU